This 2992-nucleotide ribosomal RNA is filed under the name Salmonella enterica. RNAcentral describes it as "23S ribosomal RNA". It matches the Rfam family "Bacterial large subunit ribosomal RNA". RNAcentral also lists the same sequence under 1 other name. The record is from RNAcentral. Lineage: Bacteria; Pseudomonadati; Pseudomonadota; Gammaproteobacteria; Enterobacterales; Enterobacteriaceae.
GGUUAAGCGACUAAGCGUACACGGUGGAUGCCCUGGCAGUCAGAGGCGAUGAAGGACGUGCUAAUCUGCGAUAAGCGCCGGUAAGGUGAUAUGAACCGUUAUAACCGGCGAUUUCCGAAUGGGGAAACCCAGUGUGACUCGUCACACUAUCAUUAACUGAAUCCAUAGGUUAAUGAGGCGAACCGGGGGAACUGAAACAUCUAAGUACCCCGAGGAAAAGAAAUCAACCGAGAUUCCCCCAGUAGCGGCGAGCGAACGGGGAGGAGCCCAGAGCCUGAAUCAGCAUGUGUGUUAGUGGAAGCGUCUGGAAAGGCGCGCGAUACAGGGUGACAGCCCCGUACACAAAAGCGCAUGUGCUGUGAGCUCGAUGAGUAGGGCGGGACACGUGGUAUCCUGUCUGAAUAUGGGGGGACCAUCCUCCAAGGCUAAAUACUCCUGACUGACCGAUAGUGAACCAGUACCGUGAGGGAAAGGCGAAAAGAACCCCGGCGAGGGGAGUGAAAAAGAACCUGAAACCGUGUACGUACAAGCAGUGGGAGCACAGGUUUACCUGUGUGACUGCGUACCUUUUGUAUAAUGGGUCAGCGACUUAUAUUCUGUAGCAAGGUUAACCGUAUAGGGGAGCCGGAGGGAAACCGAGUCUUAACCGGGCGUUAAGUUGCAGGGUAUAGACCCGAAACCCGGUGAUCUAGCCAUGGGCAGGUUGAAGGUUGGGUAACACUAACUGGAGGACCGAACCGACUAAUGUUGAAAAAUUAGCGGAUGACCUGUGGCUGGGGGUGAAAGGCCAAUCAAACCGGGAGAUAGCUGGUUCUCCCCGAAAGCUAUUUAGGUAGCGCCUCGUGAAUUCAUCUCCGGGGGUAGAGCACUGUUUCGGCUAGGGGGCCAUCCCGGCUUACCAACCCGAUGCAAACUGCGAAUACCGGAGAAUGUUAUCACGGGAGACACACGGCGGGUGCUAACGUCCGUCGUGAAGAGGGAAACAACCCAGACCGCCAGCUAAGGUCCCAAAGUCAUGGUUAAGUGGGAAACGAUGUGGGAAGGCCCAGACAGCCAGGAUGUUGGCUUAGAAGCAGCCAUCAUUUAAAGAAAGCGUAAUAGCUCACUGGUCGAGUCGGCCUGCGCGGAAGAUGUAACGGGGCUAAACCAUGCACCGAAGCUGCGGCAGCGAACGUAUCACCCAAGACAACUUUACGGAGUUGACGAUUGACGGAGCGAAGCGACGUCAAAGCGUUCAUUAAAGUCGAGUUGGCUUAGGGAUACGUUCGUUGGGUAGGGGAGCGUUCUGUAAGCCUGUGAAGGUGUGUCGUGAGGCAUGCUGGAGGUAUCAGAAGUGCGAAUGCUGACAUAAGUAACGAUAAAGCGGGUGAAAAGCCCGCUCGCCGGAAGACCAAGGGUUCCUGUCCAACGUUAAUCGGGGCAGGGUGAGUCGACCCCUAAGGCGAGGCCGAAAGGCGUAGUCGAUGGGAAACGGGUUAAUAUUCCCGUACUUGGUGUUACUGCGAAGGGGGGACGGAGAAGGCUAUGUUGGCCGGGCGACGGUUGUCCCGGUUUAAGCGUGUAGGUGUGUGUUCCAGGUAAAUCCGGUUCACUUUAACACUGAGGCGUGACGACGAGGCACUACGGUGCUGAAGCAACAAAUGCCCUGCUUCCAGGAAAAGCCUCUAAGCAUCAGGUAACAUCAAAUCGUACCCCAAACCGACACAGGUGGUCAGGUAGAGAAUACCAAGGCGCUUGAGAGAACUCGGGUGAAGGAACUAGGCAAAAUGGUGCCGUAACUUCGGGAGAAGGCACGCUGAUAUGUAGGUGAAGCGGUUUACCCGUGGAGCUGAAAUCAGUCGAAGAUACCAGCUGGCUGCAACUGUUUAUUAAAAACACAGCACUGUGCAAACACGAAAGUGGACGUAUACGGUGUGACGCCUGCCCGGUGCCGGAAGGUUAAUUGAUGGGGUCAGCGCAAGCGAAGCUCCUGAUCGAAGCCCCGGUAAACGGCGGCCGUAACUAUAACGGUCCUAAGGUAGCGAAAUUCCUUGUCGGGUAAGUUCCGACCUGCACGAAUGGCGUAAUGAUGGCCAGGCUGUCUCCACCCGAGACUCAGUGAAAUUGAACUCGCUGUGAAGAUGCAGUGUACCCGCGGCAAGACGGAAAGACCCCGUGAACCUUUACUAUAGCUUGACACUGAACAUUGAGCCUUGAUGUGUAGGAUAGGUGGGAGGCUUUGAAGUGUGGACGCCAGUCUGCAUGGAGCCGACCUUGAAAUACCACCCUUUAAUGUUUGAUGUUCUAACGUGGACCCGUAAUCCGGGUUGCGGACAGUGUCUGGUGGGUAGUUUGACUGGGGCGGUCUCCUCCUAAAGAGUAACGGAGGAGCACGAAGGUUGGCUAAUCCUGGUCGGACAUCAGGAGGUUAGUGCAAUGGCAUAAGCCAGCUUGACUGCGAGCGUGACGGCGCGAGCAGGUGCGAAAGCAGGUCAUAGUGAUCCGGUGGUUCUGAAUGGAAGGGCCAUCGCUCAACGGAUAAAAGGUACUCCGGGGAUAACAGGCUGAUACCGCCCAAGAGUUCAUAUCGACGGCGGUGUUUGGCACCUCGAUGUCGGCUCAUCACAUCCUGGGGCUGAAGUAGGUCCCAAGGGUAUGGCUGUUCGCCAUUUAAAGUGGUACGCGAGCUGGGUUUAGAACGUCGUGAGACAGUUCGGUCCCUAUCUGCCGUGGGCGCUGGAGAACUGAGGGGGGCUGCUCCUAGUACGAGAGGACCGGAGUGGACGCAUCACUGGUGUUCGGGUUGUCAUGCCAAUGGCACUGCCCGGUAGCUAAAUGCGGAAGAGAUAAGUGCUGAAAGCAUCUAAGCACGAAACUUGCCCCGAGAUGAGUUCUCCCUGAGACUUUAGGUCUCCUGAAGGAACGUUGAAGACGACGACGUUGAUAGGCCGGGUGUGUAAGCGCAGCGAUGCGUUGAGCUAACCGGUACUAAUGAACCGUGAGGCUUAACCUU